RNAcentral lists this ribosomal RNA (103 nucleotides) under Salmonella enterica subsp. enterica. Its description in RNAcentral is "partial 23S ribosomal RNA". It matches the Rfam family "Bacterial large subunit ribosomal RNA", at positions 1 to 94 of the family's 2925-position model. The record is from RNAcentral. Lineage: Bacteria; Pseudomonadati; Pseudomonadota; Gammaproteobacteria; Enterobacterales; Enterobacteriaceae. RNAcentral also lists the same sequence under 3 other names.
GGGUUGUGAGGUUAAGCGACUAAGCGUACACGGUGGAUGCCCUGGCAGUCAGAGGCGAUGAAGGGCGUGCUAAUCUGCGAUAAGCGCCGGUAAGGUGAUAUGA